Hibiscus syriacus is the source of this 1739-nucleotide long non-coding RNA. RefSeq lists it as uncharacterized. The transcript has 3 exons. NCBI's taxonomy places the organism in Eukaryota, Viridiplantae, Streptophyta, Magnoliopsida, Malvales, Malvaceae. The record is from RefSeq and is a predicted model, not a curated record.
UCUCAUCUGUUCUUCAAUAUUUAUUUCUUUCUUUUGUUUUACCGGGUUUUCACUUUCCACGGUCUUUAUAUCUGAAACUUCGAAUCUCACAUUAGCGUGUGCUUUAGCAUCAUCUCUCAGUUGUUCUACAUUUCCAGGAAUUUCUUUUCAAACCCCUUUUAAUCCCAAUGUUUCCUUUACUGGGAUCGUCUCUGGGAAUGGGUUUUGACUUCUUGUGUGGGUUGAGACCUUCGUUUUCCUCACCCAACGUUUCAGACAUGCUUUGUUUGAGAUUCUUCGACAAUGGUACUACCAUGGAGUUGAAACGAAUUUAUAAUGGUCCAUCUCUCAUCCAAUUUGAAGCUGGAAACUCCCGCAUUUUGUGGUCUUACUGAGACCAACGCUCUAAAUGUUGGCAAUGGCCUAAAUUCAAUCAUACCAGGGAACCAAACCAAAGAAAUGGUAAACUCGACCCGACUACCCCCCAAUAGCCUUGGAUUAACCUCCCUGCAGCAACUCCCUGCAGAAACCACCAAGCUUAGUCGAGCUACACCAACACCGACGAUGCAAAUCACCACGAAGCUCAGUCGAAAUCCAAUGGCUAACGACGUGAGCUCCACCCAUGUACCUUUUCUUCACCUACGAAACCACCAUUAACGACCAUAGGUACAUCAACCUAAGACUAGAAAAAAAUAAACCCCAUUUCCUUUUUCUCGCGGUGCUUCUCCUCGUUUUCAGAACUUGUUCGAUUCUCUACAAUGAAUUCAACUUUCAACAAAUCCAUGAAAGCCCGGAUCAUGUUCUGCUCGCAGCACUCAACGAAUUUUGUUUACUUUAUGAAUCAAAUAUUCGCCAAGGAGCAUGGUUUGAUCUUCGUGGAGGUAUCGGCCAAAACUGGUCACAAUGUUGAGGAGACAUUUAUAGAAACUGCUGCAACCAUAUACACAAAGAUUCAGGAUGGAGUUUUUGAUGUGUUCAAUGAGUCGUACGGCAUAAAAGUUGGUUACGGUGAAAUUCUAGGGCCAUUUGGAGGUCGAGAUGGUUCUUCUUCGCAAGGUGGCAGCUGCUGCAAUUGAAAUUCCGAGUUCUCAUUCUCGAAAAUGGAAUACAGCUUCACAACUACGAUUUGAAGAUGUAGUGUGAAGAUGUGGAAUGUUUAUGAAAUUUUAAAGAAAUGAGAUUGAAAUGUUGGGAAAAUGGGGUUAUGAUUCCAACAAGAAAAUCACGUGGGUAGAGACUUGAAAAAAUAAAGUUGAAAAUCUCAUCAUGAGUCCUCAAGGUUUGGUAAGAACUUAGCCUUAUCUCAUAGUUUCCAUUAGUUUUAGUUUAUGGCCCAAUAGUGCAAAUUAAUUCGGUUCAGUCCCUAAUUUUAGUGAUUAAUUAUUAGAGUAGCCCCACAAGUAUUAUAUUAUACUAAUUGGGUUUCCAAAUAAUUAUUUUAAUUCUAAUAAGCUAUCUUUAUGGCGAGGGAAAUUAUUUGGAUACAAGUCAGUAAUUUUGAUGGUCUGGACCGUGAGGAAAAUAUUGGAAGCUUGAACUCAAAGUUGUUCAUCCCGACCCGCUCGUCUACGAGAGCCCGUGAUUAUUCGUUUUCGUACAGUAGAAGAGCGUAGUGAGGCUGGUGCUCAAUAGAUCUUCCGGAUUGACCCGUUUUGCGAGAUACUAUCGGAUAUACAUUUUGUAUCAGACACUUGGAGGAUUGGUACAUUUAAUUCAAAUCAUUUUGUUGUAAUAUUCUGUCUUCCGAACUGCUUUUAAUU